UGGGGAAUAUUGCACAAUGGGGGAAACCCUGAUGCAGCCAUGCCGCGUGUGUGAAGAAGGCCUUCGGGUUGUAAAGCACUUUCAGCGAGGAGGAAAGGUUGGUCGCUAAUAACGGCCAACUGUGACGUUACUCGCAGAAGAAGCACCGGCUAACUCCGUGCCAGCAGCCGCGGUAAUACGGAGGGUGCAAGCGUUAAUCGGAAUUACUGGGCGUAAAGCGCACGCAGGCGGUUGGAUAAGUUAGAUGUGAAAGCCCCGGGCUCAACCUGGGAAUUGCAUUUAAAACUGUCCAGCUAGAGUCUUGUAGAGGGGGGUAGAAUUCCAGGUGUAGCGGUGAAAUGCGUAGAGAUCUGGAGGAAUACCGGUGGCGAAGGCGGCCCCCUGGACAAAGACUGACGCUCAUGCACGAAAGCGUGGGGAGCAAACA
This 427-nucleotide ribosomal RNA is filed under the name uncultured bacterium. RNAcentral's name for it is "bacterial SSU rRNA". It matches the Rfam family "Bacterial small subunit ribosomal RNA", at positions 355 to 774 of the family's 1533-position model. The record is from RNAcentral.